GCCAUCUUGUAACGGCUCCCCUACCCACCCACUCCCACUUCUCCGACUUCUAGGCCCUGGUGUUUCCCCUGUACUGGGGCAUACAAAGUUUGCAAGACCAAGGGGCCUCUCUUCCCAAUGAUGGCCGACUAGGCCAUCUUCUGCUACAUAUGCAGCUAGAGACACUUCAUCUCUGACUGUCGAAUAGUGUAUGGAGAUUCACUAGAAAAGCUAUGCCUGUGAGUCUACAAGGAUUUCGUCAUUAUGGCAUUCCCAUGGAGAUUUCAUUACAUUGGUUAUUGCUUAAUUGCCUGGAUUCAUUCAUACAGACAAUACGAAGCACCACAACCUUUAACAAUCAACAUUUUAAAACUUCACCAAACCCAGACUAUAUUGUGGAAGCUGGGAAGUGCUUGCUGACAGUAGCCUGAUAGGGCUGUCUCCUGACAGGCUCUGCCAGAGCCUGACAAAUACAGAGAUGGAUGCUUGGAGCCAACCAUUGGACAAAGCAGAAGGUCCCUGAUGGAGGAGUUGGAGAAGGAACUGAAGGAGCUAAGAGAGUUCACGGCCCCAUGGGGAGAAACAGUGUCAAGAAGCCAGACCCCCUGGAGUUCCCAGGGACUAGACCACAAACCAAAGCAUACACAUGGAGGGACCCAUGGUUCUGGCCUCAUAUGUGGCCUUGUUGGACAUCAGUGGGAGGAGUGGCCCUUGGGCCUGAGGGUGUUUGAUGCCCCAGUGUAGGGGAAUUCCAGAGCAGAAAGAAGAUGGAAGUGGGUGAGUAGGUGUGGGAGCACCCUCAUAGAGGCAGCGGGGAGAUGGAUAGGAUACGGUGUUUCUGAAGGGGAGACCUGGAAAGAGGAAAACACUUGAAAUGUAAAUAAAGAAAAUAUCCAGUAAAAAAG
This 884-nucleotide long non-coding RNA is filed under the name Mus musculus (house mouse). RNAcentral's name for it is "predicted gene, 34585 (Gm34585)". Lineage: Eukaryota; Metazoa; Chordata; Mammalia; Rodentia; Muridae. The record is from RNAcentral.